Molecule: ribosomal RNA, 433 nt
Filed under: uncultured bacterium
Lineage: Bacteria
Description: partial 16S ribosomal RNA
Rfam family: Bacterial small subunit ribosomal RNA
Source: RNAcentral
AACGAACGCUGGCGGCAUGCCUAACACAUGCAAGUCGAACGAGACCUUCGGGUCUAGGGGCGCACGGGUGCGUAACGCGUGGGAACCUGCCCUUAGGUUCGGAAUAACUCCCCGAAAGGGGUGCUAAUACCGGAUAAUGUCUUCGGACCAAAGAUUUAUCGCCUUUGGAUGGGCCCGCGUUGGAUUAGCUAGUUGGUAGGGUAAAAGCCUGCCAAGGCGACGAUCCAUAGCUGGUCUGAGAGGAUGAUCAGCCACACUGGGACUGAGACACGGCCCAGACUCCUACGGGAGGCAGCAGUGGGGAAUAUUGGACAAUGGGCGAAGGCCUGAUCCAGCAAUGCCGCGUGAGUGAUGAAGGCCUUAGGGUUGUAAAGCUCUUUUACCCGGGAUGAUAAUGACAGUACCGGGAGAAUAAGCACCGGCUAACUCCGUG